CAGCCGCCGCGGUAAUACAGAGGGUGCGAGCGUUAAUCGGAUUUACUGGGCGUAAAGCGUGCGUAGGCGACUUCUUAAGUCGGAUGUGAAAUCCCUGAGCUUAACUUAGGAAUUGCAUUCGAUACUGGGAAGCUAGAGUAUGGGAGAGGAUGGUAGAAUUCCAGGUGUAGCGGUGAAAUGCGUAGAGAUCUGGAGGAAUACCGAUGGCGAAGGCAGCCAUCUGGCCUAAUACUGACGCUGAGGUACGAAAGCAUGGGGAGCAAACAGGAUUAGAUACCCCUGUAGUCCCUGUCUCUUAUAU
Molecule: ribosomal RNA, 301 nt
Filed under: uncultured bacterium
Lineage: Bacteria
Description: partial 16S ribosomal RNA
Rfam family: Bacterial small subunit ribosomal RNA
Source: RNAcentral